UAUAUUGAAUGGCAUCAUUCGAUAUUGAAAACUCCGGUGGAUAGAGAUGGGCACGCGCAAGAUUAGAUAGUUGGUGAGGUAACGGCUCACCAAGUCUGCGAUCUUUAGGGGGCCUGAGAGGGUGAUCCCCCACACUGGUACUGAGACACGGACCAGACUCCUACGGGAGGCAGCAGUGAGGAAUAUUGGACAAUGGGUGAGAGCCUGAUCCAGCCAUCCCGCGUGAAGGACGACGGCCCUAUGGGUUGUAAACUUCUUUUGUAUAGGGAUAAACCUAGAUACGUGUAUCUAGCUGAAGGUACUAUACGAAUAAGCACCGGCUAACUCCGUGCCAGCAGCCGCGGUAAUACGGAGGGUGCAAGCGUUAUCCGGAUUUAUUGGGUUUAAAGGGUCCGUAGGCGGAUCUGUAAGUCAGUGGUGAAAUCUCACAGCUUAACUGUGAAACUGCCAUUGAUACUGCAGGUCUUGAGUGUUGUUGAAGUAGCUGGAAUAAGUAGUGUAGCGGUGAAAUGCAUAGAUAUUACUUAGAACACCAAUUGCGAAGGCAGGUUACUAAGCAACAACUGACGCUGAUGGACGAAAGCGUGGGGAGCGAACAGGAUUAGAUACCCUGGUAGUCCACGCCGUAAACGAUGCUAACUCGUUUUUUGGGAUUUAGGUUUCAGAGACUAAGCGAAAGUGAUAAGUUAGCCACCUGGGGAGUACGUUCGCAAGAAUGAAACUCAAAGGAAUUGACGGGGGCCCGCACAAGCGGUGGAUUAUGUGGUUUAAUUCGAUGAUACGCGAGGAACCUUACCAAGGCUUAAAUGGGAAAUGACAGGUUUAGAAAUAGACUUUUCUUCGGACAUUUUUCAAGGUGCUGCAUGGUUGUCGUCAGCUCGUGCCGUGAGGUGUUAGGUUAAGUCCUGCAACGAGCGCAACCCCUGUCACUAGUUGCCAUCAUUAAGUUGGGGACUCUAGUGAGACUGCCUACGCAAGUAGAGAGGAAGGUGGGGAUGACGUCAAAUCAUCACGGCCCUUACGCCUUGGGCCACACACGUAAUACAAUGGCCAGUACAGAGGGCAGCUACACAGCGAUGUGAUGCAAAUCUCGAAAGCUGGUCUCAGUUCGGAUUGGAGUCUGCAA
This 1126-nucleotide ribosomal RNA is filed under the name Chryseobacterium sp. MYb480. RNAcentral describes it as "bacterial SSU rRNA". It matches the Rfam family "Bacterial small subunit ribosomal RNA", at positions 173 to 1310 of the family's 1533-position model. The record is from RNAcentral. Lineage: Bacteria; Pseudomonadati; Bacteroidota; Flavobacteriia; Flavobacteriales; Weeksellaceae.